Molecule: ribosomal RNA, 636 nt
Filed under: Fructobacillus fructosus
Lineage: Bacteria; Bacillati; Bacillota; Bacilli; Lactobacillales; Lactobacillaceae
Description: bacterial SSU rRNA
Rfam family: Bacterial small subunit ribosomal RNA
Source: RNAcentral
UCGUACGAACAGCGGAAAGUGCUUGCACUUUCCAAGUAAGUGGCGAACGGGUGAGUAACACGUGAAUAACCUACCUCAAAGUCUGGGAUAACCAUUGGAAACAGUGACUAAUACCGGAUAAAACCCAAGUGCACAUGCACUAAGGUUAAAAGCUGCGUUUGCAGCGCUUUAAGAUGGAUUCGCGGUGCAUUAGUUAGUUGGUGAGGUAAAGGCUCACCAAGACAAUGAUGCAUAGCCGAGUUGAGAGACUGACCGGCCACAUUGGGACUGAGACACGGCCCAAACUCCUACGGGAGGCUGCAGUAGGGAAUCUUCCACAAUGGGCGCAAGCCUGAUGGAGCAACGCCGCGUGUGUGAUGAAGGCUUUCGGGUCGUAAAGCACUGUUGUAUGGGAAGAACGGGUUUAAGAGGAAAUGCUUAGACAGUGACGGUACCAUACCAGAAAGGGACGGCUAAAUACGUGCCAGCAGCCGCGGUAAUACGUAUGUCCCGAGCGUUAUCCGGAUUUAUUGGGCGUAAAGCGAGCGCAGACGGUUGCUUAAGUCUGAAGUGAAAGCCCACAGCUCAACUGUGGAAUGGCUUUGGAAACUGGGCAACUUGAGUGCAGUAGAGGUAAGUGGAACUCCAUGUGUAGCG